CCUACGGGGGGCAGCAGUGAGGAAUAUUGGUCAAUGGGCGCGAGCCUGAACCAGCCAAGUAGCGUGCAGGAUGACGGCCCUAUGGGUUGUAAACUGCUUUUAUACGGGGAUAAAGUGGCGAACGUGUUUGCUAUUGCAGGUACCGUAUGAAUAAGGACCGGCUAAUUCCGUGCCAGCAGCCGCGGUAAUACGGAAGGUCCAGGCGUUAUCCGGAUUUAUUGGGUUUAAAGGGAGCGUAGGCCGCUGAUUAAGCGUGUUGUGAAAUUUGGAUGCUCAACAUCUGAACUGCAGCGCGAACUGGUUAGCUUGAGUGUGCGCAACGCAGGCGGAAUUUGUGGUGUAGCGGUGAAAUGCUUAGAUAUCACGAAGAACUCCGAUUGCGAAGGCAGCUUGCGGGAGCACAACUGACGCUGAAGCUCGAAAGCGCGGGUAUCGAACAGGAUUAGAUACCCUUGUAGUC
This 460-nucleotide ribosomal RNA is filed under the name uncultured Prevotella sp. Its description in RNAcentral is "bacterial SSU rRNA". It matches the Rfam family "Bacterial small subunit ribosomal RNA", at positions 338 to 795 of the family's 1533-position model. The record is from RNAcentral. Lineage: Bacteria; Pseudomonadati; Bacteroidota; Bacteroidia; Bacteroidales; Prevotellaceae.